Fukomys damarensis (Damara mole-rat) is the source of this 214-nucleotide long non-coding RNA. RefSeq lists it as uncharacterized. The transcript is spliced from 3 exons. The record is from RefSeq and is a predicted model, not a curated record. Lineage: Eukaryota; Metazoa; Chordata; Mammalia; Rodentia; Bathyergidae.
GCGAUGGCAAAUUUGAGCCCAGCCUGGGCAACAUAAGCUAGGUCUGACUCCAGAGAUGCUGUGCCUUCUUCAGUAGCUGUGGAGGUAUCGACUCUACCACGUUCCAGUUGCGUCAGAUCUUCAUUGUGUAUAUAUCCUCAUUUUAGGACUUCUGGUGUGUUGGUGGGUCUUACCUUGCUCAUCCUGACAGACGGCCUUCAGGAUGCGAUGUCCC